Long non-coding RNA from Etheostoma cragini (Arkansas darter), 111 nucleotides. RefSeq lists it as uncharacterized. The transcript is spliced from 3 exons. The record is from RefSeq and is a predicted model, not a curated record. NCBI's taxonomy places the organism in Eukaryota, Metazoa, Chordata, Actinopteri, Perciformes, Percidae.
UACACUUAUGCCCCCUGUAUUUUAAGGAAGAAAAUUUAUUUAUUUACAAUACGUUAUUUAUUCACAUACAAAAUUGGGGUCCUUAAAAGUUGGAGUUUUCCCAAUUUUUUU